GUAAUGGUUAGCACUCUGGACUCUGAAUCC
Molecule: non-coding RNA, 30 nt
Filed under: Xenopus tropicalis (tropical clawed frog)
Lineage: Eukaryota; Metazoa; Chordata; Amphibia; Anura; Pipidae
Also listed under: 5 other names
Source: RNAcentral